GAUGAACGCUGGCGGCGUGCCUAAUACAUGCAAGUCGAGCGAACAGACGAGGAGCUUGCUCCUUUGACGUUAGCGGCGGACGGGUGAGUAACACGUGGGUAACCUACCUAUAAGACUGGGAUAACUUCGGGAAACCGGAGCUAAUACCGGAUAAUAUUUCGAACCGCAUGGUUCGAUAGUGAAAGAUGGCUUUGCUAUCACUUAUAGAUGUACCUGGGCCGUAUUAGCUAGUUGGUAAGGUAACGGCUUACCAAGGCAACGAUACGUAGCCGACCUGAGAGGGUGAUCGGCCACACUGGAACUGAGACACGGUCCAGACUCCUACGGGAGGCAGCAGUAGGGAAUCUUGCGCAAUGGGCGAAAGCCUGACGGAGCAACGCCGCGUGAGUGAUGAAGGUCUUCGGAUCGUAAAACUCUGUUAUUAGGGAAGAACAAACGUGUAAGUAACUGUGCACGUCUUGACGGUACCUAAUCAGAAAGCCACGGCUAACUACGUG
RNAcentral lists this ribosomal RNA (497 nucleotides) under uncultured bacterium. RNAcentral's name for it is "partial 16S ribosomal RNA". It matches the Rfam family "Bacterial small subunit ribosomal RNA", at positions 28 to 507 of the family's 1533-position model. The record is from RNAcentral.